Molecule: long non-coding RNA, 430 nt
Filed under: Brassica napus (rape)
Lineage: Eukaryota; Viridiplantae; Streptophyta; Magnoliopsida; Brassicales; Brassicaceae
Description: long non-coding RNA (BNAP_LNC001158)
Source: RNAcentral
AGUCCGCCUGAAGAACAAAAAUACUUUUUCCGAUUGACACUAAACAAAAAAGGACUCGAAAAGAUAAGAAUAGUAGAUUACCCAAAGACAAUGUGAUUUUAGUAUUUGGUUAAAAGAAAUUUUUAAAUAAGAACAUUGUUAAAAGACAUUCAUAAUCACGGAUAUAAUACAUUCAGAUAUAUCACAAUCAAAAAUAAAACUUUAACACAUCAUUUAAAAUAUAUUAAAAUAUUACACAUAAUAUCAAGCAAAUGCAAAAAAAGAACGUAUUUCCAUUAAAAAUAUAACUGAAAUGAAUACUGAAAAUAAAAUAGUACAAAUAUCAUAAAAUGUAGUUGAUAACAAAUAAAAAUUCAAACGCGUAAAAAUUAUAAACUAAAAAAUAUAUAUAUAAAUAUAUGUAUAUAUCUAAUUAGAAAAGAAACUAUAU